AUUGAACGCUGGCGGCAGGCCUAACACAUGCAAGUCGAACGAGUGGCGGACGGGUGAGUAAUGUCUGGGAAACUGCCUGAUGGAGGGGGAUAACUACUGGAAACGGUAGCUAAUACCGCAUACCAUCAGAUGUGCCCAGAUGGGAUUAGCUAGUAGGUGGGGUAAAGGCUCACCUAGGCGACGAUCCCUAGCUGGUCUGAGAGGAUGACCAGCAAACCUGGAACUGAGACACGGGCCAGACUCCUACGGGAGGCAGCAGUGGGGAAUAUUGCACAAUGGGCGCAAGCCUGAUGCAGCCAUGCCGCGUGUGUGAAGAAGGCCUUCGGGUUGUAAAGCACUUUCAGCGAGGAGGCGUUACCCGCAGAAGAAGCACCGGCUAACUCCGUGCCAGCCGCCGCGGUAAUUC
RNAcentral lists this ribosomal RNA (406 nucleotides) under uncultured bacterium. Its description in RNAcentral is "partial 16S ribosomal RNA". It matches the Rfam family "Bacterial small subunit ribosomal RNA", at positions 30 to 526 of the family's 1533-position model. The record is from RNAcentral.